CGAGGCCGAAAGGCGUAGUCGAUGGAAAACAGGUUAAUAUUCCUGUACCACCUGUUAGGAGUGAUGGGGUGACGGAGAAGGAUAGAUCAUCCGUGUGUUGGAUUACACGGUUCAAGCUUGUAGGAUUAAGAAAUUGGUAAAUCCGUUUCUUUAUAAGUCUGAGAAGUGAGUACGAGAGGCCCUAGGCCUCAUAAAGUGAUUGAUUCCAUGCUUCCAAGAAAAACCUCUAAAUGUUGAAUAAUAGGUGCUCGUACUGUAAACGGACACACGUACGCGGGUAGAGUAUACCAAGGUGUUUGAGAUAAUUAUGGUCAAGGAACUCGGCAAAAUAGCUCCGUAACUUCGGAAUAAGGAGUACCUGUAUUAAGUGAAGGGUCUUGCACCCGGAGCUGAAACAGGUGUCACUGAAAUGGUGGAAGCGACUGUUUACCAAAAACACAGGCCUGUGCUAACCCGCAAGGGGAUGUAUACGGGCUGACGCCUGCCCGGUGCUGGACGGUUAAGGGGAUGGGUUAUCCUUCGGGAGAAGCUUAGAACCGAAGCCCCAGUAAACGGCGGCCGUAACUAUAACGGUCCUAAGGUAGCGAAAUUCCUUGUCGUCUAAUUAGCGACCCGCAUGAAUGGCGUAACGACUUCUGCACUGUCUCGACCAUAAUCUCAGCGAAAUUGUAGUGCUGGUGAAGAUGCCAGCUUCCCGUUGUGGGACGGAAAGACCCCGUGCACCUUUACUAUAACCUAGCACUGGAUUUUGAUGUUAAAUGCGUAGGAUAGGUGGGAGACUAUGAAAGUUCGAUUUUGGUUGGACUGGAGUCGUUGGUGAAAUACCACCCUUUUGAUGUUAGGAUUCUAACUUUAAUCCGUUAUCCGGAUUGAGGACAAUGUUAGGCGGGUAGUUUGACUGGGGCGGUUGACUCCUAAAGAGUAACGGAGUCGCUCAAAGGUUCUCUCAGCCUGAUUGGAAACCAGGCGUCGAGUGUAAUGGCACAAGAGAGCUUGACUGUGAGAUUGACAGAUCGAGCAGGUACGAAAGUAGGACAUAGUGACCCGGUGGCUUCCAAGUGGGAGGGCCAUCGAUCAUCGGAUAAAAGGUACGCCGGGGAUAACAGAUUAAUCGCGCCCAAGAGUUCACAUCGACGGCGCGGAUUGAUACCUCGAUGUCGGCUCAUCGCAUCCCGGGGCUGUAGAAGGUCCCAAGGGUUGAGCUGUUCGCUCAUUAAAGCGGUACGCGAGCUGGGUUCAGAACGUCGUGAGACAGUUCGG
This 1260-nucleotide ribosomal RNA is filed under the name marine metagenome. RNAcentral's name for it is "bacterial LSU rRNA". It matches the Rfam family "Bacterial large subunit ribosomal RNA", at positions 1397 to 2634 of the family's 2925-position model. The record is from RNAcentral.